UUAAUUUGAGAGUUUGAUCCUGGCUCAGGACGAACGCUGGCGGCGUGCCUAAUACAUGCAAGUCGAACGAGCUCUGGUAUUGAUUGGUGCUUGCAUCAUG
RNAcentral lists this ribosomal RNA (100 nucleotides) under Lactiplantibacillus plantarum. RNAcentral describes it as "partial 16S ribosomal RNA". It matches the Rfam family "Bacterial small subunit ribosomal RNA", at positions 1 to 97 of the family's 1533-position model. The record is from RNAcentral. Lineage: Bacteria; Bacillati; Bacillota; Bacilli; Lactobacillales; Lactobacillaceae.